GGCCGGUUAGCUCAGUCAGUUGAGCGUGACGCUAACAACGCCAAGGUCGCGGGUUUGAUUCCCAUUCUGUCCC
Non-coding RNA from Apaloderma vittatum (bar-tailed trogon), 73 nucleotides. The record is from Rfam. Lineage: Eukaryota; Metazoa; Chordata; Aves; Trogoniformes; Trogonidae.